This is a long non-coding RNA of Xyrauchen texanus (razorback sucker), 380 nucleotides long. RefSeq lists it as uncharacterized. The record is from RefSeq and is a predicted model, not a curated record. The transcript has 3 exons. NCBI's taxonomy places the organism in Eukaryota, Metazoa, Chordata, Actinopteri, Cypriniformes, Catostomidae.
AGGAAGUCCAGACCAGCUAUAAGGGGAAAGGCCAGGCUUUCCUGAAUAAGGGUGUAUGUGCUCCCUGUAUCCAGUACCGCCUUCACCUCUCGUCCUUUUAUAGUUAUUGGCACUACUAGAAGAGAUGUCAUAGGGUGUGGUUGAGCAAUGGAUACUCCUGCUAGAUUUUUAGAGUCCUUCUCCACCAUAGAUCCCACCUUCACCAGCUGUUCCACUGAUUUCACCGUCCCUCUCAGACAGCCCGCAACUCUUGGGUUGAUAUUAUUAAGAAUACGGCUCACCAUCUCCUCAUCUGUAAUGGCCGGCUUCCAUUUCAGGCAGAGGGAUAGGCGAAAUCUCUCAAACGCUGAUUGGGUUGCUGCACCAGUGACCUCAACUUG